Molecule: long non-coding RNA, 2298 nt
Organism: Tigriopus californicus
Lineage: Eukaryota; Metazoa; Arthropoda; Copepoda; Harpacticoida; Harpacticidae
Exons: 2
Source: RefSeq, a predicted model, not a curated record
GAGGAGGCCAAGGUAUUCUGAAAUGAAAUCUAGUGCAUUGCCUCCACAGACGAGGUCAAGAGCCGCCAUGAUUAACAUGUGCAACGACAUAGAACGAGGACGCCCGAGUUUAGCGCCCUCAAUUCCCAACGGUCGUCCACUCCGAGGCAUCUUCAAUUGAACAGAGGCAACCAGUCCAACUCCAACACCCUCACCGCCAUCAUAACCUGGGUCAUUGGACUGACGAAAUCAGACAGCCACGUCUUGUUCUUUAGAAAUCAGUUCAGUCCAUGUGGACAUGCGGAGAGCGAUGAACUCAAGCUCGGUCCUGUAGUAGCGCAGAGGGAGAAAAUGGAGAAAAUGACCGAGAUCGAGAGAAAUUCGGGUGACUCACGUGGCCUCCGAGACCAGGACCGAGAGAUUCGCUUGACGUAACCGCUCCUCCAGUUUCUCAGGACAAAGAUGAUGCAAGAAAAAUUUCUCAUUGGUUUUUGCGUCCUCACCCUGUCCUACCUGGGUUUCACCUCCACAUUAGGAAACCCUCUGACCAAUGGUCAGAAGUAUCUGCAAGUUCAGGAUCAGGGUCCUUUGACGUAACCUUACGAAAAACCAGGAGAUGCGUUGACGCUUAUCCUGCUUGCAAGAGUGGAUGGAUGGAUGCCUCAGAGGGAUCUCUCGUGUGUGCAAGUCCCGAAAGUAACUCGAAACGCGCAGGAUUUCUCCACCCCGGUCCGCACCUCGAUGGAUUCGACCAAAUUCUCAGGCGUCAAAGUCAGGACAAAGUCAAAUCGUACGCCAUUUGAAGUUCAAUGACGAACUCUUGCUCAGGUGGAGGAAAAAGUGGACGCAUCCAGGAAGAGGCGGAAAAGCGAUGACGCUUGGUAGGAAGUGGACGGGUUCUCGCCUGGUUUUUGGUCAUGAACCUCGUAGCGAGGACAAGGAAAUACCUUGAACUUGCGUCAGCACAAUUGAAUAGAGCGACCUCGUGACGCAUAUUCAAGUUCAUGGGAGAAGGGAAUAUCACUUGCAGAGGAGAAUAGAUAGGACACUAGAGAUUCCCCAGUUCCAUGGAUGGCAUGGUUUUUGCUGUGUAUUUGAGAAGAAAAAAAAAGAACCUAUAAAUGUUUAUGUUGUUAAAGAUGAGAACGAUAGUUUAAAGAAAGAGGUCAGGUACGGUGAGUGAAAAUGGGAAUUGGGUAUGGGAGAAAGACAGCCAUAAUGAAGCCUAAGAAAACGCUUGAAAGUCGAAAAAAAAUAGACAACCCAAUCAUCCAUUACAUUCCGUCAACCUUGAUUAGUUACACUUUUUAGAUUCUGAAGUAUAUAAUAACAUUUAGUUUUGAACCUAUUCAUCCAUCGUUGCCUUGAUUACUCUCACCAAACCUAUCGUAAAUACCUGAGCUUUUAGAAGAGCUGCGUAAAGAUAGCCUGAACAGAGAACUGUCAUGAAAGAAGCUACGGAUGGAAUGGCUCGAGCAUCUAAACAAGUUUUCAUAGGUCAUGUUUGUGAUUCAUGUAGCACUACUGGAAGUGUUGAAUGCAAUCAUUUACAUAAGCCAAUGGACAUGAUAAAAUUCAUGAAGAAUAAGCAGCUCCCUCAUUGGAGGACACUGGACUGAAAGGACAUGUGGCUUUACAGUUACAUGACAGCACACAAUUUGAACUGACCGAGCAACGAAGCUGGGUUUGUCAACAAAAACUCGAUCUUGACAGAGAACAUCGGAAUGGCUGCCAUAUCUGCAGGAGAUAAAGCAAAUGCCACGGAGAGCUGAUCUCAGUGAGGGGCAUGGUCUCAGGAGUGCUCAAAAAUUGGAAAUGAAUCAGGAGCCAGGCAUCAAUUUCAAGAAGUGGAAGCACGUCUUCCGGGCGCAGAAUUGGAACCAUGUGGGAGCGACCCUUCUUGCGGCAAUAUCUUGGUGGUCUGAGGAGCAUUACAUCUACGUUCGACCGAAAUUAGUCCAAAAAGACUUUGUAGUGCUCUUCUUCACCGGGGCCUUUGGAAGCCUUCUACCCUCUUUUCAUGGAUAUGGUGCGUUAAUAGGCCUGUGCUUGGCUGGCUUCUAUAUUUUGUGGAGGAUUAGUCGCUGGAAGCCAUUUCACGAAGUACUACAGCAAGACUUGACUAGGAAGUUACAAAGGACAUUAGUAUCCAGUUUGGUGGACGUUUGUGCGAAACACUCGAUUGACCCAGAAGAUGGAACAACAUUGGUGAUCGAGCUGCGUCACGAAGACUCGCCGUUUUAUCAUGUGUUCAAAUCAACAAUAACUGAUUUUGUUAAACUCAAGUUAGACUAUCAAGAAUAAAAAUUGCAUUCUGAA